UACAGAGGUGGCAAGCGUUGUUCGGAAUUACUGGGCAUAAAGGGCGCGUAGGCGGCCCGAUCCGUCAGAGGUGAAAUCCCCCGGCUCAACCGGGGUACUGCCUUUGAAACAAUCGGGCUUGAGGACCGAAGGGGAGAGUGGAAUUCCUGGUGGAGCGGUGAAAUGCGUAGAUAUCAGGAAGAACGCCGGUGGCGAAAGCGGCUCUCUGGACGGUUACUGACGCUGAGGCGCGAAAGCUAGGGGAGCAAACAGG
RNAcentral lists this ribosomal RNA (253 nucleotides) under uncultured bacterium. Its description in RNAcentral is "partial 16S ribosomal RNA". It matches the Rfam family "Bacterial small subunit ribosomal RNA", at positions 524 to 776 of the family's 1533-position model. The record is from RNAcentral.